This 600-nucleotide ribosomal RNA is filed under the name Trichoderma harzianum. RNAcentral's name for it is "eukaryotic LSU rRNA". The stretch from base 234 to 387 matches the Rfam family "5.8S ribosomal RNA". The record is from RNAcentral. RNAcentral also lists the same sequence under 1 other name. Lineage: Eukaryota; Fungi; Ascomycota; Sordariomycetes; Hypocreales; Hypocreaceae.
UCUCCGUUGGUGAACCAGCGGAGGGAUCAUUACCGAGUUUACAACUCCCAAACCCAAUGUGAACGUUACCAAACUGUUGCCUCGGCGGGAUCUCUGCCCCGGGUGCGUCGCAGCCCCGGACCAAGGCGCCCGCCGGAGGACCAACCAAAACUCUUAUUGUAUACCCCCUCGCGGGUUUUUUUAUAAUCUGAGCCUUCUCGGCGCCUCUCGUAGGCGUUUCGAAAAUGAAUCAAAACUUUCAACAACGGAUCUCUUGGUUCUGGCAUCGAUGAAGAACGCAGCGAAAUGCGAUAAGUAAUGUGAAUUGCAGAAUUCAGUGAAUCAUCGAAUCUUUGAACGCACAUUGCGCCCGCCAGUAUUCUGGCGGGCAUGCCUGUCCGAGCGUCAUUUCAACCCUCGAACCCCUCCGGGGGGUCGGCGUUGGGGAUCGGCCCUGCCUUGGCGGUGGCCGUCUCCGAAAUACAGUGGCGGUCUCGCCGCAGCCUCUCCUGCGCAGUAGUUUGCACACUCGCAUCGGGAGCGCGGCGCGUCCACAGCCGUUAAACACCCAACUUCUGAAAUGUUGACCUCGGAUCAGGUAGGAAUACCCGCUGAACUUAA